AAAUUGAAGAGUUUGAUCAUGGCUCAGAUUGAACGCUGGCGGCAGGCCUAACACAUGCAAGUCGAACGGUAACAGGAAACAGCUUGCUGUUUCGCUGACGAGUGGCGGACGGGUGAGUAAUGUCUGGGAAACUGCCUGAUGGAGGGGGAUAACUACUGGAAACGGUAGCUAAUACCGCAUAACGUCGCAAGACCAAAGAGGGGGACCCUCGGGCCUCUUGCCAUCGGAUGUGCCCAGAUGGGAUUAGCUUGUUGGUGGGGUAA
This 263-nucleotide ribosomal RNA is filed under the name Escherichia coli. RNAcentral describes it as "partial 16S ribosomal RNA". It matches the Rfam family "Bacterial small subunit ribosomal RNA", at positions 1 to 260 of the family's 1533-position model. Lineage: Bacteria; Pseudomonadati; Pseudomonadota; Gammaproteobacteria; Enterobacterales; Enterobacteriaceae. The record is from RNAcentral. RNAcentral also lists the same sequence under 1 other name.